AGUGAACGCUGGCGGUAGGCCUAACACAUGCAAGUCGAACGGCAGCGCAGUAAGAGCUUGCUCUUACGGGUGGCGAGUGGCGGACGGGUGAGGAAUACAUCGGAAUCUACUUUUUCGUGGGGGAUAACGUAGGUAAACUUACGCUAAUACCGCAUACGACCUACGGGUGAAAGCAGGGGAUCUUCGGACCUUGCGCGAUUGAAUGAGCCGAUGUCGGAUUAGCUAGUUGGCGGGGUAAAGGCCCACCAAGGCGACGAUCCGUAGCUGGUCUGAGAGGAUGAUCAGCCACACUGGAACUGAGACACGGUCCAGACUCCUACGGGAGGCAGCAGUGGGGAAUAUUGGACAAUGGGCGCAAGCCUGAUCCAGCCAUACCGCGUGGGUGAAGAAGGCCUUCGGGUUGUAAAGCCCUUUUGUUGGGAAAGAAAAGCAGCAGGUUAAUACCCCGCUGUUCUGACGGUACCCAAAGAAUAAGCACCGGCUAACUUCGUG
RNAcentral lists this ribosomal RNA (492 nucleotides) under uncultured bacterium. RNAcentral describes it as "partial 16S ribosomal RNA". It matches the Rfam family "Bacterial small subunit ribosomal RNA", at positions 29 to 507 of the family's 1533-position model. The record is from RNAcentral.